This 62-nucleotide transfer RNA is filed under the name Loxodonta africana (African savanna elephant). It matches the Rfam family "tRNA", at positions 5 to 66 of the family's 71-position model. From Rfam's summary of the family: Transfer RNA (tRNA) molecules are approximately 80 nucleotides in length. Their secondary structure includes four short double-helical elements and three loops (D, anti-codon, and T loops). Lineage: Eukaryota; Metazoa; Chordata; Mammalia; Proboscidea; Elephantidae. The record is from Rfam by way of RNAcentral.
UGAUGGUUCAGUGGUAGAAUUCUCAUCUUCCAUGUGAGAGACCUGGGUUUGAUUUCUGGUCA